Molecule: RNA transcript, 2820 nt
Organism: Phycodurus eques (leafy seadragon)
Lineage: Eukaryota; Metazoa; Chordata; Actinopteri; Syngnathiformes; Syngnathidae
Gene name: fibroblast growth factor receptor substrate 2-like
Exons: 7
Source: RefSeq, a predicted model, not a curated record
UUUUGUACGUCGCCGUUGGACGGCAGCUUGCGGAUGCUUCGACGACUCUCGAUGGCUUCCAGCCGCUUUUCGUUGCCACUUGUGCGCCAACGCGAGCGUUAGACGCCUUUGGGAUUGUUUAUUUUUUUGUUUUUUUUGGCGGAGGAGGAGGAGGAAAGAGGAAAGAAAAGAUGGACGCGGCGGCGGCGGCGGAGGAGCUCGUGUAGCAGUGGGGCUAAUUAUGCUAAUGCUAAGCUAAGUGUUGCAAAUGCUAAUGCUUAGCGUCCGUCGGAGCUGCUCGGCCGCCGGACGCCCCGUUUGGACUUCCUCGCGUCGGCUUCAAGUUUGUGUUGUGCGCUGAUCUUCACCUUAAUCACCAUCAUCAUCGUUGCUGUGACGAAGGCUGGUGUGCAGAUGAUCGCGCCGCUAACCAUGGAGGAAGACCUUAGACGAGCCGCGCAGGUGCAGUAAGGCAUCAUGGGUAGUAGCUGUUCAAGCUGUCCAGACAAACAGUUGACUGCGGAUACUCAUCAAAGUAAAUUCAAGGUGAUCAAUGUGGACGACGAUGGGAACGAGCUGGGCGCCGGCGUGAUGGAGCUGACGGACGGCGAGCUUGUCCUGCACACGCAUCGCCGCGACGACGUCCGCUGGCCGUACCUGUGCCUGCGUCGCUACGGUUACGACUCCAACCUCUUCUCCUUCGAGAGCGGACGCCGCUGUCAGACCGGGCAAGGCAUCUUUGCGUUCAAGUGCGUGCGUGCUGAGGAAAUCUUCAACAUGCUGCAGGAAGUCAUGCACAGUCACAGCAUCAGUGUUGUGGAGGAAGCUGUGCUGGAUUCCAGCCACCAGGGGGCGCCACUCUCCCCUGCAGCCCUGGGCUACUCGGUGCCCACGGUGCCGAACGGCGUGUCGCGGAUCCCGUCAGUGGGCGAGGUCCCCUCCCACCCGUCCAGCCGCCACCCGUCCGUGGCCAGCACCCGCCUGCCGUCGGUGGGCGAGGAGUCCACGCACCCCCUGCUGGUGGCUGACGAAAGCGUAAGUGCGCCGCCCCCGCGCAGCCCCAGAGUCUCUGCGGCGGCUGACGAGCGCUGCGACUGCUUCCAGGCGCACACGUACGUGAACACGGCGCGUCUGCUGGAUGAGGCGCCGCCUGGCAGUCCGACGCCGGAGAGCCCCGCCUCCCCGGUGGCCCGCCGCCCGCCCACUCCUCCGCAGGCGUCCGACGCCUUAGAGCCGCGGGUGCUGCUGGAGCCGCAAGGCGUGCGCUUCGUGCUGGGCCCCACCCCAGUUCAGCGGCGGCUGCGGGAGGCGGGAGAGACGCGAGAGAGCGACAUCCACGCUGACGGCGAGCCGGGCACCCCGCGCUCUGACAGCCCGGCGGUCAACCCGCCCCCGGCGCACCGCUGCCACCGCCCGCCGCCGUUGACCCCCGACCCGCAGAAUGUCAACAACUCUGCGCAGCGGCGCACCGCGUUGCUGGACUACGAGAACCUGCCCGCGCUGCCGCCCGUGUGGGAAGCCCGCAAGUCAAGCUGGGAGGACGAGGAGGGUGGCGGCGGCCUUAAGACGCUUAACGGCUUCAACUACCCUCACGGUCCACCGUCGGCCGCCCUGGAGCCCUCGCACAACUACGUCAACACGGAGAACGUGACAGCUCCCCUCAGCGUCCACCGGCCCGACACGGCGCGCCGCCGCCCCGACGGACCCACCGUCUUCAACUUUGACUUCCGCCGGCCGCCGGGUGUCGGCGAGCAGCCUAAGAUGCUCAACUACAUCGAGGUGGAGAUGGACAACCGGGGCACCUCCGACGGCAGUGACCCCCAUACGCCCCGCACCCCCUCCUCGCCCCCGCCGCCCGGCACCCCCACGCGUCGCACCGAGCUCUACGCCCUCAUCGACAUCGAGCGCACGGCCGCCAUGUCCAACCUGCAGAAGGCGCGGCCGCGGGACGACGGGACCUCGCGCAAGACACGCCACAACAGCACCGAGCUGCCCACCAAAAGCGCCGCGUGACGACGACGCUGUCCCAGAAACUUUGACUUUGUUGUCCUUCUUCUUCUAUGGUACAAAUCAGUAUUACUGAAGCAAGCAUUCCAUUGAGCUCUUUUCAUGCUGCUGUAACUUCCAGAUUUGAAAAGGACGCUUUCACACCCCACACCCACAGAACCGCACCACCGACCACAAUCACUCCACCGACUUCUGCGUUGACCAUCCGCGAACAGAAUGCGAGACGCAUCUUCCAACAACAAAAGAUUAACAAAGCGGCAGGCUCAGACCAUGUGUCCCCAUCUUGCCUCAAAGUGGACGGACCAGCUCGCUCCAGUCUUCACUCAGAUCUUCAAUAGAUCUCUGGAACUGUGCGAAGUACCAUCCUGUUUCAAACGCUACACCAUCAUUCCUGUCCCCCAGAAACCUGCAAUCUCGGGUCUAAAUGACUACAGGCCUGUCGCCUUGACAUCUGUGGUCACGAAGUCCUUUGAACGUCUCGUGCUGGACCACCUCAAGACCCCCUGCGGUUUGCCUACCGAGCGAACAGGUCUGCGGAUGAUGCAGUCAACAUGGGACUGCACUUCAUCUUAGAACACCUCGACAGUGCAGGGCCCCUACGCGAGGAUCCUGUUCCUGUUCUUCGGCUCAGCGUUCAACACCAUCAUCCCUGAACUCCUCUCAACCAAGCUUCUCCAGCUCAGCGUCUCGCCUGCCAUCUGCCAGUGGAUUUACAGCUUCCUGACGGGCAGGGCACAGCAGGUGAGGCUGGGGGAGGCCACCUCAUCCGCACGCAGCAUCAGCACUGGGGCGCCCCAAGGUUGUGUCCUCUCACCGCUGCUCUUCUCUCUCCAC